AUUUGAACAUGUAGUUUGGACAUGGUUUGUUCUGGUUCUAAACUGUGAGAGUGAACUUGAAAUGUUCAAGUUCAGUUGGCUUGGAAUUUAGAAACCUGGGCUCUCUUUAGCAGUACGUGCUUCAAUGAUGACUUUCUGAAAUCUCUUGGUGAAGUUGCAGUUCACGUCUGCUAACCAGCUUACAUAAUUUUGCUGGAAAAUUGGAAUACAGAUGCCAGUAGCAUUACAACGGAGUUAAAAGUUUAUAUUUUAAGCUUAAAAAUGUGCUGGUCUCAAUUUUUUUUUUUAUGCUUAGCUUAAUUUGAUGCUUAUUACUUUGUCCUGGGAGUCACAGCCACUGAAAUCACUUAUAUGAUCAACUAGGAAGAUGUUUUGUGAGGUGUAAGGCAGCGGGUGUUAGAGAACACAAGGAGGUGUGCAUUAUGAAGGGUCAGGGAAGAAGAAAAUACUAAAAGAUUACAUGGAAGAUGGAAGUCUUGUUUGGACCAGUACCUGUUUAUUUUUUGCAUCUGUCAUGUUCCCAAGGUAAUAAUUUUUAGUAAUUAACAAAUGUAUACUUUGAUGAAAGAAUAAGGGUGGAUUGUAGAAGUUCUAGAUGUAUGCUGAAGGUCCAAAGUGGGAAAUGGGAGGUGUUUUGUCCUUAAAGCAGACUCAGUCCUGUCUGGUGCAGGCUUCUUGUACAAAAGUUACAUUUGGGCUUCCUCUUCAAGCAGGGGGGCAAGGGGAGGAGCUGGUAGACAGGAGCUAAUACGGACAUGGUGAGGAAGAAUUCUAAGACUUAGCAAAAAAAAAAGCUUAAUUGGUGAUUGCCUCAGUGAGUACCUACCAAAACCACAGGUAGUCUAAAAACUACACAGUGGAUCUUGGUUCCUUUGAAACAUGGGGAGGGUGGAAAAUUUUCCAUUUGAACUUAAUGUAAAAAGUGAAGGGUUUGGAAAUGUGACUUUUCCUUUCUGCUGUGGUAGAGUUUUUUUGUCACGAUAAAUGCUGUAAUAGCUUCAGUGGGGUCAGCUUCAUGCUAGAGAAUUUGGAUUAAACUAAAUCUAUUUCAAAGACUUUUCAGAGCAAGUAUAGAGAACAAAAUGUCAAGCCAAGACAUAUAACAGGGAAAGAAACUACAGUGUUCUUUCUGCAGUAAUUUUUUAAAGACUGCUUGCUGUGUUGAAUUGGGGUUUGAGUUUAACAAUGCAAUCGCAAUCAGUUUUUUACGUUUCACUUGGAAAAAACUUUUGAGUGGUUUUAAGCACCAAAAAAUCUUUUCAGGAUGCAGGAAAAACUUGAUCUGUAGCAUUGGCUAGGGAUUUUUCUGGUCUUUCUGUCUUCUGAUGCACACAGCAUCUGUAUUUCUUACAAAAUGAAUAUACACACGUUUUUGCAUGCUUGAGUAAAAACGUUCUACUCAGUUGCACUGUGCCAUAGUUUUAUAUGAAGAUAACAGAUGCUAACUUUUUCUGAAAAACCUGGUUUUAAACAGACCAUAGCAGCAAGCUUUGGUUGCUGUGGAGGCAUGGAACUAAAUUCCGGCAAGUGAUUAAAAGACAACCAGUUAGUAGAUGGAUAUUCAGAUGUACGGAAUAUGUACCGGUCCUGUUAGAUUGGAUAGUUGUUUAUGCAGAAGUUUGCAUUAACCAGCAGGUAACAUGAGGGUUUAAAUACAACCAGAAAUGUUCUAAAUAACUCCAUUGUAUUAUUUUUUGCUGCCCCCCCCCCCUUCAAUUUUUCUCUCUAGUAAUUUUAUUUCAAAAUCUUCAUUGCUUUAAAAAAUAGUGUUUUAACAGGCAUUAUCAUAUGAAGCAGAUACCUUGGGUCCAUCAAAUUGCUGGUGAUUCAGAAGUCUUCAGUCUGCAUAUCCCUAGUAAAGCUUACAGCAUAGUUGGAAUUAAACUGAAGAUUUCUUGCUGUGUUUAUAGCUGUCAAAAAAAAAAAAAAAAAAAAAAAAAAAAAAAAAAAAAAAAAACCAAACCAUUAAGGUAGUUGUUUUUCCCUGAUUUGUUUAUAGUUUCAUACAUGAAAAUGAGACUAAGACAAAACCCUCUUUAGUUAAAUUAAAGAAAUUAGCACUAGAAGAAUGGAAUGAGAUAAUGCAUGAUCAAUAAAGGAUCUUAAGGUAUGAAGGUUAUUUUACUAGAACACAGACUACACUAAUUCCUUCAAAUGUGGGGAAAAAAAAAAAAGUACUGAUUGGAUUUAUCUGCUUUCUGGUCUUUGGUUCUUGGUGUCAUUGAAUGGAUGGUAUUUUCCCCCUGCACCUUCAAUACAAAUAUAAUGUAGGUAGAAAUUGAAGAACAGUUGGAUUCAUAUUAUUAUAGGCAAUUGCAUAUUUUAGAAAGCAGAUUGAGUUGUGGCUAAAAUACUUCAUGUAUAAGGCUGGGGGCUUGUAUUUUGGCAACAGUGCAGGACUAAUGCAGAGAAUGCAUGGGAACACAGGAAAAAAACUGCAUAAAUAUAUCAAGGAGAGGUACAGAAGGUAAAGGUAAAAGCUGCCUGUAUUACUGUGAAGUGAAAAUGGGCUGCUGUCAAUUAAUGCAUUCUAGUACAAAAGCAGCUGGUUUCAAAAUAAUCUGGAAUAUGAUAGUUGAUAAAUUAUAAUUUUAAGUGUCUAUUUUAGUCUGACAAAGAAUAGCAAUUCAGAAUAACCCUCAACUGGAAAACCAGAGUGCAGACAGACAAGCUCUUCCAGGUGUGUGUAGUGUAGAACAGUUCCUAAAUUGAUGUUUGUGAUGGUUUAGCUGAUGCCUGUAAACUGACUUUGCAUUCUUGGUUAAUGCAGCAGUAAAUUCUGCAGUAACUUUGGUCUGCAGUGCAUUUAGCACUCAGUCUUCUGCAGGGAUAGUUCAAAGCUGUCAGUGUCUUUUUUCUGUACUGCAGUGGUUGGUUUAAUGUCAACCAGUUGUGGGGGAAGAGUUCAGUAGCUUCCAGAUAAGCAGGAGUAAGAGCUGUAACUAUUUCGAGAGCAUCUGUGUGCCUUGGGUAGGUUAGAAGAGGUGGCAGGCAUAAUCUUCACAGUGAUAGGUGCCAGAAGUGAAACAGUGAAUUUGAUAGUAUAGCUGUGUAGAGUAAUACUUGAAAAUUUCUCUGGUAAACAAAGAAAAAAAAGGAUUAACAUCCUUGUUUGCCCAAAAUAGAUUUUGUUUGUUUGGGAUAUUUUUGCCUAUGCAUUAGAAGUAUUGGUGAGACUUUCAGUAUCUUUGAACAGUGAAGGAUUUUAAUUCAUGAUGGGACAAACCUUUAUCAGGACACACAGUUGAACAGAAUAUAUUGGUUUUUGACAGCUUUUAAUACUCAUCUUUGACCUCUGGGGUUGUUCCUGUGCUCUGGAAGGGUAGGCUCCUCCCUUUAAACGGCUUCUGCUGAGAUUGGUUCCUUCUUCAGGAACUUGAAGCAGAAACACUCUCAAGCUCUGAGUACUUAGGAGUCCUAGGUUUGGCAGAUUAGGUAAUUCUGGUUUUUGCCUAAACUUCAUUAAUUUUCAUAUGAACUGUGCAUUGUCCCAUCACAGAAUUAACCUGCAGAGUAAGAACAGUUGCUUAGAAGAUGGUGAUACAAGGUUAUCCUCAUGGGUGGGAUGCUAGCUGUAGAGCUGGGCAGCUGGCUUUGCUCCAGCUGCUUUGGCAGACCAGGGUUGUGGAGACAGAAUUUCAAAAUAGUUUUAUCAGGGAUGGGAAUUCUGACUCAAGUUUAGGCUCAGAUGUGAUCUCAUGUUUCAUUAGAGGGAAUGCAAAAAUUAAGCUGUCCACCUGUGUUUUGAAGAGCUGCCUAAGAGGUGAUCUCUUAGAAAGCAUUGGUAGACACUGAGUAUGGUAGUUUCAUGUAUGCUGAGGAGAAGAGAAGCUGGGCUUGUUAGUAAGUCAAGCCUGUUUUGUUUUUUUUCCUCUCUGGCCAGGAUCCAUACUAUAGAUUUAAUGAUGUGAUGUACAGAUGGAUCUCACUAGAUAACUGGACUUACAGCAGGACGUUCAAAACUCCUUUUGACAUCAGAAAGUGGCAGAAAGUGAAUUUGGUUUUUGAGGGAGUAGAUACAGUAGCACAGAUCCUGCUCAACAAUGUCACUCUCGGGAGAACAGACAACAUGUUCAACAGAUAUAGCUUUGAUAUUACCAGCGUGAUCCAGGAGGUCAAUUUUGUUGAAGUCCGUUUCUUGUCAGCCGUUUCCUACGCAGCGGAGCAGAGCAGAUGUCACAAAGCACACAGCAUCCCCCCGGCGUGCCCUCCACCUGUGCAGAAAGGAGAGUGCCACGUUAAUUUCAUCAGAAAGGAGCAAUGUUCAUUUAGUUGGGAUUGGGGCCCUUCUUUUCCCACUCAAGGAAUCUGGAAAGAUGUUAGGAUUGAGGCCUAUAACCAUUAUCAUCUGAUUUACUUUUCUAUAACUCCUUUCUUUGCAAAGAGUGCUCAGCAGUGGUGUCUUGAAGUCGAGUCUAUUUUUGAUGUAGUCAGCUCCAAGCCAAUUGCGGGUCUUGUGACUGUGAACAUUCCCAAGUUACAAACGCAGCAAACAUUCAGUGUGAAGCUUCAACCUGGAGAAGGCAGCAUUGUGCUGCUUGUAAACAUCAACAAGAGUGCUGUAGUGGAGGCUUGGUGGCCAAAUGGACAUGGAAAGCAAACUGGAUACAACAUGACCACAACUUUCAUGAUGGAGGCAGGAUGCCAGAUUGAGAAGUUUUCAAAGGUUUAUUUUCGGACAGUAGAACUUGUUCAGGAGCCUAUUCCUGGCUCACCAGGUCUGAGUUUCUACUUCAGAAUCAAUGGCCGACCCAUUUUUAUUAAGGGCUCAAACUGGAUUCCAGCAGAUUCUUUCCAGGACAGAGUGACCUAUGACACACUAAGGCUGCUCUUGAAGUCUGCAGCAGAUGCUAACAUGAAUGCCCUUCGGGUUUGGGGAGGAGGAGUAUAUGAACAAGAUGAGUUUUACGAUAUUUGUGAUGAAAUAGGAAUAAUGAUUUGGCAGGAUUUCAUGUUUGCUUGUGCGCUAUAUCCAACCGACCAGAAUUAUUUAGAAUCCGUAAGAGCAGAAGUUUCUCAUCAGGUGCGACGUUUAAAAUCUCAUCCAUCAAUUAUUCUGUGGAGUGGUAACAAUGAAAAUGAAGCAGCAAUUGCAAGCAACUGGUUCUCCAUACCUUAUCCUGACAUAGGAGUCUAUAUCAAAGACUACGUGACCCUUUAUGUGGAGAACAUACGUGAAAUAGUUCUUAGUGAAGAUAAGAGUCGUCCUUUUGUGGCAUCCAGUCCCACCAAUGGCUUGGAGUCAGUUAAAGAAGGCUGGCUCUCCCGGAAUCCUUAUGACACCCAUUACGGUGACACACACUUUUAUGACUACGACAGUGACUGCUGGAACUGGACAGUGUAUCCUAAAACUCGUUUUGCUUCAGAGUAUGGAUUUCAGUCCUGGCCUUCCUUCAGUACAAUUGAAAAGGUUUCCUCCCCUGAGGACUGGUCCUACACAAGCAAUUUUUCUCUCCAUCGGCAGCACCAUGAAGGUGGCAAUAUUCAGAUGCUUCAAGAGAUUGGGCGUCAUUUCAAGCUUCCCCAGAGCCCAGAUCCUGUAAAGCAGUUCAAGGAUAUGAUUUACCUCACUCAGGUGAUGCAGGCUCAGUGUAUAAAGACAGAAACUGAAUUCUAUCGUUUUAGUCAAAGUGAAAUAAUCAAUGGAGAAGGACACACCAUGGGAGCUCUGUACUGGCAGCUCAAUGACAUUUGGCAGGCACCUUCAUGGGCUUCCUUGGAGUAUGGUGGUAAGUGGAAACUGCUCCAUUAUUUUGCCCAGAACUUCUUUGCACCACUGCUGCCUGUGGCCUAUGAAGACAAAGGGGUGUUGCACAUCUAUGGUGUCUCAGACCUUCAUGAGGACCACAAGCUAACUUUAAGGGUCGUAGUGCACGCCUGGAGCUCUUUGGAGCCCGUGUGCAGCCUUGCCAAAGAAGGUGUGACUGUGAAAGCACAGAGUGCUGUCCCCAUCUACAAGGAGUCCAUCAGUGACCUUCUGGAAAGAUGCAGAUGUUGUACCAGGAAAAGCUGUGUUAUUACUUUCUGUCUCAUGGGAGAAGAUGGGCUCCAGAGUCCUACGAACCAUUACUUCCUUUCAUCACUCAAGGAUGCCGUGGGAUUAGAGAAGACCCAGCUUACUGCCUCUGUGUCCCAACAAGAUGAUGUUUAUAUAUUUGUUCUUCAGACCACUGCAAUUGCUCCUUUUGUUACUCUGGAUGUAGGGAGUAUAAAAGGCAGAUUUAGUGAUAAUGGUUUCCUCAUGACUGAAAAGAAGAAAAUGGUUGUGUUUUAUCCUUGGGAACCUACAAGUGUUGCAGAACUAGAAAGUUCACUAGUCUUGACCUCUCUACUGGACAUUGUCUGAGAAUACUUCAUUUCCUUCUAGAUAAAGAGUGAAACAGGAGGAGAAAAACAAAUUAGAAGAAUUUGAUUGAAGCUGAAGUGACAUGCACUUUGAGCUGUCUGAAGAACAUACUGUCUCUUCCUGUCUUGUGAAUUUUAACUGCUGGUUCAAUGUAAAGAUACAACAGCAAAGCUUACAUAUAAUAUAUGUGGUGUAUUGAAAACACAUCCAUAUUUUUUUCUAGUUUUACUAUUCUGUAAGUGGAAAUUCAGUUUAGUAUAACAGCCAGGUAUGCUGGGGGCAAGGGAGAAAGGAGAGGGAGUGAAGCUGGGACUGCCUCCAGUAGGCCACUGAGCCGCUCCAUGGGCAGGUUGCUAAACAUUUGGCUUGUCUGUCAGCCGUGGUUUGAAAUGUAGCUGGGAUCUUGCUGGGGUUCCACAAGGAUCCUCUGUCCACCCAAGCAAAUAUUACUUUUCUUGCAAAGCAGAAUCAGCAUCACAGCAGGUGGAGUUUGAACGACCUCUGCCACAUGCAUCGCUGUGGUAAAAGCAGCACGUGGGCAUUACUCACUGGUGCUGUGGGGGAGCAGCUGUGUGUUCCAUUGGACUAUUCAGACUCCAUUUCAGCUGUGAUCACAGUUUUAAUGAGCACGUUGAUACUUUGGUUUGGUGACCCAAACCAAAACUGACGUACUCCUGAGCGAGAGGAAGAACUUAGAGAUGAAAGGGAAGUGAUAAAUAAGAGUUUCUUACAAAUGCUUAUUGGGUCACCAAAACAACUAACUUGCAUCUGGUUCACAACAAGUCCUAGUUAAAAGAAGACAUGAAAACAAUCAAAAUAUGGAUGUGUAUGUAUGUGCCAGUGUUAACAGAUUUUGUAAAAUAGAUAGGGAAAGUGACAGUCAUGAGUAAAACUUAACAAAUGCAGGCGUUGACAAAGGAAGGAAAAAAGUUAUUCUGAGAGGCAUCAUGGCCCAACAAUACCAGAAAAAUCCUUCAGUUUUUUUGGUGUCCUGGAAUCAAGGUGGAAUCAAAGCAUCAGUAAAGAUCUGGUCCGAGAUGGGGAGGUACCCUGCACUCCUGCCCACACAUCCAUCUUGCCAGCUGAGUGUUGUUACAGCUGCAGCACACCUGUGUUGCCAGUUCUGUCUGACGGGGUUUGGCAGCAGGAGCCUUAGGAGAGCAUUUGGAAUCUUUUGAAUCCAGCAAAAGUUUGGACAGCACCAUUGGCCAUUACUCUAGAACUGCUUUAUUUCAUCCAGACAUGAUCAUCCAGAAACGCCAGAAGCUGUGGAUGGAGUGACACCCAGGUUACUGAAGACUGAGCUGAGCCAAGAACCACCCUGUCAAUGCUCCAUCUUGGUGCCACAAUAAUUGACUAGAACUUACAGAUUUCUUUUUGAGACAAACAUAUGAAGAGCUUUCAUCAAGUAAGUGACCCUGAAAUAGGAACAAAUCAGUAGCAUCUAUCACCUGUGCAGGAUCCACAGGAGGAGUGCCUCACUGCAAGAGCUGAAUCUGAUUGUACGAUGUGGGAUCAGUGUGACUAAAACAGUGGUGGUACCUUAAGAGUUCAGUCUUGUUUUUCUAAACAAACAUCUUAAAAUAAACUAUGUGAUGCCCUCCAUGUUGCAGAGAGAGCAGAACCCCUCUUACCCUUCAAGAUGAAUCUAAAGGGGCAAUAUGUGUACAAGCACAUUUUUGGGUGGGUGUGAAGGUUUACUCAUGAUUGACCAAACAGUUUUCCAUAGAGAAUAAACUGGCAAUGUUAGACUGGAAUGGAGUGACUGUGGUGUUUCUUUUUUCUUACCAAAAAUACCUACAGUGUUUUUACACAGGGUGUAAGUUUCCACAUUUGGCUACAGGCAGCACUACCAGUGUUUGAACAGGAAAAAACAAACAUUUUUGUUACUAAACCUGGCCAGGCAAUGACUGAACAGCUCUGUGGACAAACUUCUCACAACCUCUCUUAGUAGAGUUCCCUGCCCAAAACCACUGUAGGACCUCUGUCACUGAAGGUGCUCAGAACUGAACUGGACAUAACAUGGGCAACCUCACAUCAUGUUCCACAGGCCCUGCUCUGAGCAGGUUGGCCAGCAGGGCUGCUCGAGUCUUGUGUAACCUAAGCCAUCCCCAGUUUCUUUGCCUACAGAACACUGGGCCAUUUUGGAGUGCUGCACACUGUGGAAGGAGAAAUUUAGUACUGAAGUCUUGCUGAGAAGUUUAGGAGCCCAAAGUAUUUUUGUUUAUCCAGCUGUGAGGGAGGAAAAAAAUAAAGUUAAAAGCUAAUGGCACUUGUACACACCUAGGAGAUAAUUGCCUGUAUUCCUAGUACAUCCAAGGCAUUACCAUUAGCAAAUGGCAGGUGUCUGGUUUUAGCAAAGGGCAGCAGUAUAAUGAAUACUGUGAUGCAGGCAUGCUGAUUCAAGUGGUUAAUUUUUCCUCUCUUUCCUAUGCCGAGCAGAUCUCUAUGAUGAGAGGGGUCACACUGCAGCAAAGUAUUUCUGAAACCAGUAAGCAGGUGAAGCAGUGUGUGCAAGUAGGCAUGCAAUCCUCACAGUCCUAGAUAGACUGGGGAGGGGAAACUGAAAAUAAGUCUUAAAUAAAGCUCUUCAUAUUUUGC
Pyrgilauda ruficollis (rufous-necked snowfinch) is the source of this 8947-nucleotide RNA transcript. It is a transcript of the gene named mannosidase beta, with no coding region annotated. Lineage: Eukaryota; Metazoa; Chordata; Aves; Passeriformes; Passeridae. The record is from RefSeq and is a predicted model, not a curated record. The transcript is spliced from 21 exons.